RNAcentral lists this ribosomal RNA (471 nucleotides) under uncultured bacterium. RNAcentral's name for it is "partial 16S ribosomal RNA". It matches the Rfam family "Bacterial small subunit ribosomal RNA", at positions 330 to 792 of the family's 1533-position model. The record is from RNAcentral.
UCCAGACUCCUACGGGAGGCAGCAGUGGGGAAUCUUCCGCAAUGGGCGCAAGCCUGACGGAGCAACGCCGCGUGAAUGAAGAAGGUCUUCGGAUCGUAAAGUUCUGUUCUUAGGGAAGAAGUCUUUUCUUGUGAAUAAUGGGAGAAGGUGACGGUACCUAUGGAGAAAGCUCCGGCUAACUACGUGCCAGCAGCCGCGGUAAUACGUAGGGAGCGAGCGUUAAUCGGAAUUACUGGGCGUAAAGCGCUCGUAGGCGGUAUGUCAAGUCAAGGGUGAAAUCCCCGCGCUCAACGUGGGAACUGCCUUUGAAACUGGCAAACUGGAGUGUGUGAGAGGAUAGUGGAAUUCCAGGUGUAGGAGUGAAAUCCGUAGAUAUCUGGAGGAACAUCAGUGGCGAAGGCGACUAUCUGGCACAUAACUGACGCUGAGGAGCGAAAGCGUGGGUAGCAAACAGGAUUAGAUACCCGGGUA